CAAAGCAGAGCUGAACCUUGAAGCGGACUAGACGUAUGUUGCACGGGCUCCCAUCUAUACUGAUGAUUUUUGGAGAAAAUCCCCACGCACCGAGUUGACAUACUCACAGUGGUGCACUCUCUAUGUUGGGGUGCACUGGUGAACUUAAAAAAAUACCUCACCAGGGACUUUAAGCCUCCGGAAGCCCAUAGAGAAUCGUUGAGGCCUGCAGGUGACAGAGCUGGGCAGAGG
Molecule: non-coding RNA, 231 nt
Organism: Pelobates cultripes (western spadefoot toad)
Lineage: Eukaryota; Metazoa; Chordata; Amphibia; Anura; Pelobatidae
Source: the annotation of a GenBank genome assembly